AGGAUCAACGCUGGCGGCGUGCAUGAGACAUGCAAGUCGAACGGACGAUCAAAGCUUGCUUUGAUCGUUAGUGGCGGACGGCUGAGUAACGCGUGGGUGACCUGCCCCGAAGUGGGGAAUAACUGCCCGAAAGGGUGGCUAAUACCGCAUGUGGUGGUGCGUUCAAUCGCACCAGUAAAGCCGCAAGGCGCUUCGGGAGGGGCCUGCGUCCGAUUAGCUCGUUGGCGAGGUAACGGCUCACCAAGGCGACGAUCGGUAGGUGGUCUGAGAGGACGAUCACCCAGACUGGGACUGAGACACGGCCCAGACUCCUACGGGAGCAGCAGUCGGGAAUUUUGCGCAAUGGACGAAAGUCUGACGCAGCAACGCCGCGUGAGGGAUGAAGGCCUUCGGUGUAAACCUCUUUCUCAGGAAGAUAAUGACGUACCUGAGAAUAAGCCACGGCUAACUACGUGCCAGCAGCCGC
This 466-nucleotide ribosomal RNA is filed under the name uncultured soil bacterium. RNAcentral describes it as "bacterial SSU rRNA". It matches the Rfam family "Bacterial small subunit ribosomal RNA", at positions 26 to 518 of the family's 1533-position model. The record is from RNAcentral.